This is a long non-coding RNA of Amphibalanus amphitrite, 570 nucleotides long. RefSeq lists it as uncharacterized. Lineage: Eukaryota; Metazoa; Arthropoda; Thecostraca; Balanomorpha; Balanidae. The transcript has 2 exons. The record is from RefSeq and is a predicted model, not a curated record.
UGCGUAUUGUUAGGCUUGGCAGGUCUUAAAUUAUUUUAAAAUAUUUAAAUAAUUUAACCUUUAAUUCACCUAUCCCAACAUGGCUACCGUGCGAGCACCUAUCAAAACCUUGAUGAAAAUAACAAACCGAAAAUCUGAGAAACGCGAUUUGACCUUGGACGUGCCCCGUGCCAGUGCACUGGCCUUAGGGGUGCUGAAGAACUUGAUUUGGAUGCCGGCGGCGGCGACGACAGUGCGCCGGCGCACAUCUCUAUGGAGGUGGACGGCGACCCGUGGGCGACCGCCGCUGCCGCGGUUUGCUACAGGUGGCCAUGGCCACUAAUCUGUUGGAGGAGGCGCCCCCGGCACAGGUCCCAACCGCCGGGGAGACGCGGCAGAGACCGGGCAGUGGGCUUGCUUCCAGUCGCAAUACGACGCGGUCGUGACAGCGUCUCAGUGCACAGGAGCCGCGGCUGUGGACGAUUGUUGAGAGACGGCGCGGGGCACGGAUAGAAGCUUGUCUGCUGGAGAUCAAAUCCUGUCUGCUGGUGGUAUAUAAUGCCGCGUAGCCCCGUGUCCGUGAUGAUCUUU